CACUUGUGAGAUCAUGCACAAACUGGUGCUGCACAUCAUUGCAUCCACCACACGACAGAACCACCUUGGGUCCUGGAUGGCAAACACACAAGCAGACAACCGGUCCUUCCCCACCUCUCAAAAGCAA
Molecule: long non-coding RNA, 127 nt
Organism: Thalassophryne amazonica
Lineage: Eukaryota; Metazoa; Chordata; Actinopteri; Batrachoidiformes; Batrachoididae
Exons: 3
Source: RefSeq, a predicted model, not a curated record